Molecule: unclassified non-coding RNA, 215 nt
Filed under: Hevea brasiliensis (rubber tree)
Lineage: Eukaryota; Viridiplantae; Streptophyta; Magnoliopsida; Malpighiales; Euphorbiaceae
Source: RNAcentral
CCAUUGCUGAAAAGAACUCCAUCUGGCUUCAUCUUUAGAGUUUCUAAUGCUGGCCACUUUGAAGGGACCACAGUGAUUUUACAGCCAUAAGAUGCUAAGCGUCUCAGUAUAUUGUGCUUAAUCCCAAAAUCAUAUGCGACAACAUGGUAAAUCUCUCGUCCGUUGGAGUUAAAAUCCCACUCGGGCUUUGUUUUAUCAACCCAUUCAUAAGGGGC